GGAUCUCUGGUCUGGACCACAAUUUCUUCGGAACUUAUCAAACCACUUUCCAAUCACCUAACCAUAGUGCAAGAACGCAGCAAAUUACCAUCACCAAUGACUACUGCAGCCGCAUUCACUUCCUAUCAGUUAAUUGAAAUAUUUUCUUUUAUUAGUUUAAUCACAUGGAUACAUAAUGGUUUAAAAGAAUGAAGUCAAGUUUAAGGCUAUAGACUGUGAAGAAAGCAUUAGACAAGGCUAAUGAUCCAUGAGUAAUCAAAAUUAUUCUAUUCAGGCCCAAGUAGAUAUAUUUAAUUAUGUUGAAUGGAUCCCAAUCCUUGCGGCGGCCAGAGAUCAUGAAAGACACGUGUAGGACAAACGCUGAUUGUUUUUGUUAGAAGCUGAACAGUUAUCCCACAUAGGAGAAAAAUAUCAAAGUCGGAUGGUAUUUAAAAUAGAACCAAGGCACACAAGGUCACGACCUUACUUGAACAGGAUCUGUUCUAUAGGCUCGUAUCUCUGUGUCCCUAAGUUCAAAGGAGACAAGAUUCCAAGUCUGGUUGAUGAACCAUGACUGUGUGAUCUGAGCGUGAUUACUGGUCUGGUGUUUCCCUUGCUGGUUUCACUUCGACCGCAGAGGAUCGUUCUCAGCUUGCCUUGCGCGGUUGGGAAGGUCACGCAGUUGUCUGACAGACUCUCUCCCCUUUUCCCUUUUUUUCUUUUUCCAUUUGAAUUUGCAGGCUUAUUGCAUGCAGAUAGUUCCUUUGCAGUGUUGUUUGAAGCAAAAUUUGGGGGAUUUUAGAAGGCAAGCCCUGCAGAGAUAGUAAUUGAGAGUUGAAUGGCUAGAAACUUACCAAAUAUGAGUUUAGAAUUUGCAAUGCUGCCAUUCUUAGAUUAACGCACUUUCACCAGAUUAACAGCAAAUAAAACUCCCAUAUCUAUUCUUAUAUAUAUAUAUACAACAAAAAAGCUAAAAAUGUUUUUUCAGGUCAUUAGUCAUCCUCGGCAAUGCUUUACCG
This 998-nucleotide long non-coding RNA is filed under the name Gossypium barbadense (sea-island cotton). Its description in RNAcentral is "long non-coding RNA (GBAR_LNC018362)". The stretch from base 457 to 675 matches the Rfam family "Plant small nucleolar RNA U3". Lineage: Eukaryota; Viridiplantae; Streptophyta; Magnoliopsida; Malvales; Malvaceae. The record is from RNAcentral.